CCUGAAACGGGUGCUAAUGCCGGAUAGGCAACUGGUAGGCAUCUACCGGUUGGGAAAGGUGCAACUGCACCGCAGGAUGGAGGAGCCCGCGGCGCAUUAGCUAGUUGGUGGGGUAACGGCCCACCAAGGCGACGAUGCGUAGCCGACCUGAGAGGGUGACCGGCCACACUGGGACUGAGACACGGCCCAGACUCCUACGGGAGGCAGCAGUAGGGAAUCUUCGGCAAUGGGCGAAAGCCUGACCGAGCAACGCCGCGUGAGCGAAGAAGGCCUUCGGGUUGUAAAGCUCAGUCACCCGGGAAGAGCGGGCAGGAGAGGGAAUGCUCCUGUCGAGACGGUACCGGGAGAGGAAGCCCCGGCUAACUACGUG
RNAcentral lists this ribosomal RNA (370 nucleotides) under uncultured bacterium. RNAcentral describes it as "bacterial SSU rRNA". It matches the Rfam family "Bacterial small subunit ribosomal RNA", at positions 150 to 507 of the family's 1533-position model. The record is from RNAcentral.